UUUACUGACAGUUGGGAUCCUGCUCCCCCGCCACAAUGCCGUUGCCAGAAAUCCGAUUUGGUCAUGAUACAGACGUCCAAACCCCGACAGUUGGCGUCCCGACCUAUCCCAGCUAGGUUCCUGGACAUUGUCUUUCUUGUUUGCCCCAUCCUCAGAUUAGACAAUGACAAUCCAGUAUUUUAUUGUCUUCGACAGAAACUGGGCUACCCUAAUACAAUAGGAGUAAACAAAGCCCCAGCACGCCAGCUGGUCGGACUGGUGUCGGGUCGCUUCCUGAGGGUGUAGUGACGUCAGGACCGGAAACCGGGCAGCGUGGUUGGUGGCGGCGGUGAGGACCUCCUACUAGAUAGGACUCAAGGCACUCAACAGAAUUAACAAUACAGUACAAAAACAAUGAAGAACAGAAAAGCUUUUCGAAAAAUACAGAGAGCAUGGAGAUAUUAAAGGGACAAUUAUGGAAAGUCUUGAGUUCAUUUUUGAAGGAUUCUAGAGUGGGGGCCUCUGGAAAUGUAUGGGGAAGUGAGUUCCAUAGAGUUGGAGCCAUGUGGCUAAAAGCUCAGCCCAGAUGAAUUACGGGAGAUUCUAGGUACUGCUUAUAGUCCUUCAUCUACAGAUCACCGUAAUUGAGUGGGGCAGUAUGGAAUCAGAAACUGCUUCAGGUACCUUGGGCCCUGGUCAUGUAGUGCUAUGAAAGUCAGCAUUUAUGUGUUUCUUAUGAAUGCAUAAGUCAGGCAAUCCAAUUGCAGGGUUCCUGUCUUAAGGUGUGUACACAAGGAGCGAUAUGGCUCAGCGAUGUUGACUAUAUAGUCAAAUUACUAAGAAAGUUAGUGUAUGUCGCUCUGUGUGUACACAGCCAGCGAUAGCGAUGCGCAUUCCCGCCAGGUCGCUAUCGCUGGGAAAAAUAGACAGUGCAGGCAAGUCAGCUUCAACUAUGUCGCUGUAAAAGUGAAAACAUCCCCCUAUGUAUAUGAGUUAGUCAAAAUCGCCCAUAGCCAAAAUCGCUUGCACACUUAGUCAAAAUCGCUGGCAAAGUUAGCCAAAAUCUCCUACUGCCAGUUCGAGGUAAAUCGCUCAUAGUCAAAAUCGCUCCGUCAGGUCAGUAUGUUGGGAGUCCAAUUAAAAGGGAACGCUAUGUGAAAUGCAUUUUCUCUAUCACUUGGAUCUUACCUCUGCGUAACCCGUAACUAAUACCAUCAUCUCCCCAAUUGCCCCCAGUAGAACAUCCAAAGUUCUACUCACAAAGCCAGUGACUUCACUAUAACAACAUUUACUUAAACAUAGGUGUAGGACAUCACAUUUUAUACAGGUUUUAGUGUCUAACAAUAAAUAGAUAUUAUUUGCCACCAAUCUACCUGUAAAUUAGUGAUGUCUUCUCCCAUUUCGGAUUUCCAGGAAAAAGACUGAACCUUUUCACAUCGGGGACUCCACACCUGGGUUUCAGCAUAACUUGCAACGUUUCCUUGUUAACUUUACCGGUGACGUCAAGGCCAAAAAAAGUCUGCAUGUCCUUGAUUUUAUCUUCAUUUUUUUUGGCCAGUGUCCUGGCCCUAGUAGCUUCAGAGUAGAAUUGUUCUAGAUAUUCCUGUUAAAAAUAAAUAUAUUUUUGUUUUAA
Long non-coding RNA from Pseudophryne corroboree (corroboree frog), 1612 nucleotides. RefSeq lists it as uncharacterized. The transcript has 4 exons. Lineage: Eukaryota; Metazoa; Chordata; Amphibia; Anura; Myobatrachidae. The record is from RefSeq and is a predicted model, not a curated record.